AUCUCCUGUUACCAGCACAGAGCCCUCCGGCCUGAGGGACAGCCGGGUGCCAGGACUGGAAGUGCAACAAGGCUCCGAUUGCUGGUGAGGCUGAGAGAGGCUGUUCCCCUCCAAAACCUCUGUGAUUGCUCUCGAGAGAAAACUUUUCAGCAGAGAACGGAGAUCCAGUGAAACCAGAAUGAUUCAUUGGUGUUCAACCUGAGAAUUUAUUUCUUUUGAUAUGCCCUGUGUAUGGAGGCACCAUGUUGGUUCUGAUUUAUUUUGUGAAAGGAGAGUAGGGGAGAAAAAUCUGCGCUUUUCUGUGGCUUCAGCUCAAGAUGAGAUCAAUGGAAAUUGGUGGAUCUUUAGGACCCCCCCAGAAAUUAUCCAGGACAAGAGGAAGAAGUGUUUCGACCCUCAGGAAUAAAGUGAUACCAGGUUGCUUCAUUCUCAUCCACCACGGGGCAAAGAUCUUCCAAACACUCAGGAAGGCUCUGCAGGAACACUGGGAUCGCAUCUUCCAGAGGAGUUUUGUUGGACCUGGACACUCACUGGGAUUUUGCAGUCAGUUCUGCACAUCAGGACAGGAAGAAUUGGAAGGAAAAUCAGCUGUGGACAAAACUGGC
Molecule: long non-coding RNA, 605 nt
Filed under: Parus major (Great Tit)
Lineage: Eukaryota; Metazoa; Chordata; Aves; Passeriformes; Paridae
Description: lncRNA (ENSPMJG00000013932.1)
Source: RNAcentral